UACGUAUGGUGCAAGCGUUAUCCGGAAUGACUGGGUGUAAAGGGAGCGUAGACGGUUGUACAAGUCUGAUGUGAAAGCCCACGGCUCAACUGUGGGAGUGCAUUGGAAACUGUAGAACUAGAGUAUCGGAGAGGCAAGUGGAAUUCCUAGUGUAGCGGUGAAAUGCGUAGAUAUUAGGAGGAACACCAGUGGCGAAGGCGGCUUGCUGGACGAAAACUGACGUUGAGGCUCGAAAGCGUGGGGAGCAAACAGG
This 253-nucleotide ribosomal RNA is filed under the name uncultured bacterium. RNAcentral describes it as "partial 16S ribosomal RNA". It matches the Rfam family "Bacterial small subunit ribosomal RNA", at positions 524 to 776 of the family's 1533-position model. The record is from RNAcentral.